UCUGAGAUGAAUUUUUUCAAAGUUGUGGUGGAUGGCCACCUCGAGGACAUGGAAGAAAUCGAGUCUUCUCCUGCUGAUGACCUAACCCAGGAUGAGUGUGAUGAUGACACUAACCUCUAAGUCGCUGGUGAGGACAAGAAUGGAGAAUAAUCUUGCUUCUAUUCCCGUUUUCGUUAGUCAUUCCUUAGGAUGUAUUUUGUAAUUUUUCUCAGAAUGUUG
This 219-nucleotide long non-coding RNA is filed under the name Lathyrus oleraceus (garden pea). RNAcentral describes it as "Pisum sativum (pea) long non-coding RNA (PSAT_LNC007997)". Lineage: Eukaryota; Viridiplantae; Streptophyta; Magnoliopsida; Fabales; Fabaceae. The record is from RNAcentral.